Molecule: long non-coding RNA, 732 nt
Filed under: Homo sapiens (human)
Lineage: Eukaryota; Metazoa; Chordata; Mammalia; Primates; Hominidae
Description: non-protein coding MIR503HG:19
Source: RNAcentral
CCCCCUCGUGGGGAAGGUAGAAGGUGGGGUCUGCCGGACGCGUGUUCCUGCCACCAGGUGCCCGCUCCCCGCGAGGCCGGCUCAGGAGCAGAAGGAAGCCCGGUGCCAGCCAGCCUUCCUGAAAGACCAAGCCCGCGCCAUCCGGCUUCCUCCAGUGGACGCCUGCAGGACCCAGGAAUGUUUUUCUUGAAGGCAUCCAGCAUCUCCAGUUAGCAGUACUGAUUUUUUUUCCCCCCAACAAAGGAACACUACAUCAACACUGUUGGCGGGGACCUGGACACAGAAGACUCCUGUUUCAAGAAAAUACAAUCAUCUCUCAAAGGCUGUAAUUUAUAUGCAUUUUAAAACUCUAGGCAUUGAAAACCACCCAAGUGUCCCAAAUAGAAGGGUAAUAUAUAAUCAAUCACUCAGUGUAAUAUUAUACAUCCUUUAAAAAUGUUAUUGGGAAAUGUUUUAUGAUCUGUAAGUCCAAGGAAUCCUCUCCCACCAUUUCUUUCCCCCCGCUGUUCCCCCAUACCCACACUUCUUUGUUCCAAUUGGCAUGUAAAUUUGGUUUUCCCGCCAAAUGAGUCAGUCAUGAUGGGAACCUCAACUGAUUUGAACAGAUGUGUGUCAAUGUUACUUGGAAAACUAGAUGUCAAUAACCAGGGUCACAGAAAAAGGCAGUGGUCACAACUCUGUAAAAAUGUAUGCAUGCACACAGACAAGAACUAAAGUGGAACCCCACACAGG